CACGUAGGGGGCGAGCGUUGUCCGGAUUCAUUGGGCGUAAAGGGCGCGCAGGCGGCCCGGAAAGUCGGAUGUGAAAACUCGAGGCUCAACCUCGAGACGUCGAUGGAAACCAUCUGGCUAGAGUCCGGAAGAGGAGAGUGGAAUUCCUGGUGUAGCGGUGAAAUGCGCAGAUAUCAGGAAGAACACCUAUGGCGAAGGCAGCUCUCUGGGACGGUACUGACGCUGAGACGCGAAAGCGUGGGGAGCGAACAGG
This 253-nucleotide ribosomal RNA is filed under the name uncultured bacterium. RNAcentral describes it as "partial 16S ribosomal RNA". It matches the Rfam family "Bacterial small subunit ribosomal RNA", at positions 524 to 776 of the family's 1533-position model. The record is from RNAcentral.